RNAcentral lists this long non-coding RNA (329 nucleotides) under Setaria italica (foxtail millet). Its description in RNAcentral is "long non-coding RNA (SITA_LNC000053)". The record is from RNAcentral. Lineage: Eukaryota; Viridiplantae; Streptophyta; Magnoliopsida; Poales; Poaceae.
CUCCAUCAUCCAAUUUCAACCAUGACCCUGUGAUUCGUCCACCUAUAUACAUCCAUUAGGAAGCAUGUCCCACAGAGUACACAUGAUUUUUACUACUUAUUAUCUCUCUCACCCACAACACAAGUGCACCCUUCUCCUGCUCUUCUUCUCACUCAUCCAGCAUCUCUCGUAGUAUUCCUUCCAUCCCAAUUUAUAAGUCGUUUUGGCUUCUAGAUAUAUGUUUAUAUCUAAAUACAUAGUGAAUAUUAUGAAUCUAGAAAAGCUAAAAAAAGCCAAAACGACGAGUAAUGAUCUCGUAGAAGCAGCUCAACCUUUACAAGGAACAUUCC